Molecule: small nucleolar RNA, 134 nt
Filed under: Pterocles gutturalis (yellow-throated sandgrouse)
Lineage: Eukaryota; Metazoa; Chordata; Aves; Pterocliformes; Pteroclidae
Source: RNAcentral
AUGCACAUUUCAUUGACCUGCUUUUGUUAACAAGUGACGAGCAGUGUUAUUUCUGAUGUGCUACAGAAAUAGUUGAAGGCUAAUUAGCAGCAUAGCUGUGUGUAGUUACUGCUGCCAGUCUCCUUCAUACAAAG